CCGUUUGGGUAUUAGUAGCAUAGUGUUGCUUCGGUGGUAAAAGUUUAUUCCUGUCUGAAUCAGUCUUGACUGAGAUUUUGACGAAAACGCAUGUGGGCGGACACGUUUUUUCUUCAAGAGUAUUAUUCUGAGCCAAAUUUUUCAGUGAAAACAUAAAGUUAAAGUCCAGAGGUAUUUGAGACUAAAAGACCUAAAAAAGACUAAAAGAACGCUCUCCAGAACUCAAAGAAAAAAAGCAACAAGUAUCAUCCCUACGAAUACUCAAGAAAAUGAGAAAAUUGAAAUGAAAUGCAAAGAAAUAGAAGAGAAAGAUAGAAGUUUCCAAAAAAGGAGCAGCAAAGAGAAACGUUUUUUCAAAAAAUUUUAAAAAAUUAACAAAGGAGAUAGAUGUCUUCCGAUGAGGACGGAGAAGAUGUCCCAUUUGGGAAUUCAGACGACCAUUCUGAUUUGAUACCUGAACCCGAUCCAACUGCGAAGAUUUAGAUAGAGACCACCCAAAGAAGGGAAUAUUAUUACUUCUGGAGACACAUCCGAAGAAGUUGAAGUUAAUUGAGCCAGGGAAAUUUAGCGGGCACAUUGUAUAAUGCCCUGAUCAACAUGAUUUUGGAACUGUUGCCUUCAAAGACAUAAAAGUGUUUUGCCUUCGCCAUGUGUUUUAGGUAAAACAAAAAUUUUGCAGUCCUAUUAUAAAUUUGACUUAC
Molecule: long non-coding RNA, 701 nt
Organism: Dendroctonus ponderosae (mountain pine beetle)
Lineage: Eukaryota; Metazoa; Arthropoda; Insecta; Coleoptera; Curculionidae
Exons: 3
Source: RefSeq, a predicted model, not a curated record